This 442-nucleotide ribosomal RNA is filed under the name uncultured bacterium. RNAcentral's name for it is "partial 16S ribosomal RNA". It matches the Rfam family "Bacterial small subunit ribosomal RNA", at positions 338 to 795 of the family's 1533-position model. The record is from RNAcentral.
CCUACGGGAGGCUGCAGUGGGGAAUAUUGGGCAAUGGACGCAAGUCUGACCCAGCAACGCCGCGUGAAGGAAGAAGGCUUUCGGGUUGUAAACUUCUUUUAAGGGGGAAGAGCAGAAGACGGUACCCCUUGAAUAAGCCACGGCUAACUACGUGCCAGCAGCCGCGGUAAUACGUAGGUGGCAAGCGUUGUCCGGAUUUACUGGGUGGAAAGGGCGUGCAGCCGGGAAGACAAGUCAGAUGUGAAACCCCGCGGCUCAACCGGGGAACUGCAUUUGAAACUGUUUUUCUGGAGUAUCGGAGAGGUAAUCGGAAUUCCUAGUGUAGCGGUGAAAUGCGUAGAUAUUAGGAAGAACACCAGUGGCGAAGGCGGAUUACUGGACGACAACUGACGGUGAGGCGCGAAAGCGUGGGGAGCAAACAGGAUUAGAUACCCCAGUAGUC